Molecule: unclassified non-coding RNA, 165 nt
Filed under: uncultured Vanrija
Lineage: Eukaryota; Fungi; Basidiomycota; Tremellomycetes; Trichosporonales; Trichosporonaceae
Description: sequence contains ITS2
Source: RNAcentral
UCUCUCAACCAAUAGGGUUUCUUAUUGGCUUGGAUCUGGGUGUUGCCAGCUUGUCUGGCUCGCCUUAAAGGAGUUAGCGAGUAAAGCACUGUCGUCUGGCGUAAUAAGUUUCGCUGGUAGACUUUGUGUGAAGGUCGCUUAUAAUCGCCCUCGGGCAAUUUUUGA